Molecule: transfer RNA, 64 nt
Filed under: Dipodomys ordii (Ord's kangaroo rat)
Lineage: Eukaryota; Metazoa; Chordata; Mammalia; Rodentia; Heteromyidae
Rfam family: tRNA
About the family: Transfer RNA (tRNA) molecules are approximately 80 nucleotides in length. Their secondary structure includes four short double-helical elements and three loops (D, anti-codon, and T loops). Further hydrogen bonds mediate the characteristic L-shaped molecular structure. tRNAs have two regions of fundamental functional importance: the anti-codon, which is responsible for specific mRNA codon recognition, and the 3' end, to which the tRNAs corresponding amino acid is attached (by aminoacyl-tRNA synthetases). tRNAs cope with the degeneracy of the genetic code in two manners: having more than one tRNA (with a specific anti-codon) for a particular amino acid; and 'wobble' base-pairing, i.e. permitting non-standard base-pairing at the 3rd anti-codon position.
Source: Rfam by way of RNAcentral
GGUGGCUCAGUGGCAGAGUGCAUGCCUUGUAUGCAUGAGGCCCUGGGUUCGAGUCUCAGCACCA